Molecule: RNA transcript, 508 nt
Organism: Mesitornis unicolor (brown roatelo)
Lineage: Eukaryota; Metazoa; Chordata; Aves; Mesitornithiformes; Mesitornithidae
Gene name: class I histocompatibility antigen, F10 alpha chain-like
Exons: 2
Source: RefSeq, a predicted model, not a curated record
GGCUCCAUUCUCUGCGUUAUUUUCAUGUUGCGGUGUCAGAACCCAGCCUGGGGGUGCCCCAGUUUGUGUCCGUGGGGUACGUGGAUGGGAACCUCAUCUCGCGCUACGACAGCGAGACUGGGAGGGAUGAGCCCCAGGCAGACUGGAUGGUGGACAACAUGGACACCCAGUACUGGGACACCCAGAGCCAGAUUGCAAAGGACACUGAACAGAUUACACGCUGCAGAGCCGCUACAACCAGAGUGGAGGGGCUCACACACUGCAGCGCAUGUACGGCUGUGACCUCCUGGAGGACGGUAGCACCAGGGGAUAUUUGCAAUACGCCUACGACGGGAGGGACUUCAUCGCCUUCGACAAGGACAUGAUGACGUUCAUUGCAGUGGAUGCAGCAGCGCAAAUCACCAAGAGGAAGUGGGAGGAGGAUGGGACUGUUGCUGAGAGGCGGAAGCACUACCUGGAGCACACCUGUGUUGAGUGGCUGAGAAAAUACGUGAGCUACGGGAGGGCU